This is a long non-coding RNA of Pocillopora verrucosa, 1846 nucleotides long. RefSeq lists it as uncharacterized. The record is from RefSeq and is a predicted model, not a curated record. NCBI's taxonomy places the organism in Eukaryota, Metazoa, Cnidaria, Anthozoa, Scleractinia, Pocilloporidae.
GUCACGUGGGCAGCAAAGUGAGUCGCAUAUAGUACGGCGUGUAACUACAAUCAUCGUUGUAAAAAUUUUAAGAAGCUUGAGAGUCGCAACCUGUAGUGGAAGAAGCAGCGGAUAAAUUCAGUGGAAAGCCGAACAAUACCUACCUAAGUUCAGGAACGGAAAAAAGGCUAUUGGAGAGGAGGCAAUGUAUCAAGAUGGAAUCUCAUUGUGUGUGACAGAAACAGACCUAAAUAAUAAUUUUGAAAUACGAGAAAAAAUGGAAUUCAAGCGGCGAAGAAGAGUUAGUGCACCAGCCAAACCGUACGGAGGUUCAGAAAAGCUGAAGAACAAAUUAGAACAUGGGUUUUAUGGAGGCGGAAAAAAGCUAUCACAGUCAGCUUUGUUAAUCUCGCCAUCAUGGCAGAGUUUUGAUAGAGAGGAUGUCGACGGUGACCCGCUUGACACGAGUUGGGACUACAUCGAAGAAAUGAUGAAGGACAACAAAAAAGCAGAGACAAUUAAGCUUUUGAAAACACAACAAGUCAGAGGUUCCGUCAAAGCACUCAGUCCAAGAACUACAGCAGAAACGACGACAACUUUAAAGCAACUAAAAAAGGAGAUUUCCAGGAAGUUUUCUCGCGCACGUUCAGACUCUAAAUACUCGUUGAUACCUUGGAUGGAUUGUAGUGACUGGGAGGAGCCUUCGGGAGAUUUCAUUCCAGUUGAAUUCAAUCUAGGCUUCUUGGAUGACUAUAUGUAAGGGUAACAUGAAAAUUAACUAUAAACUCGUUGCUGUUGUUGAUGAUUCAAAAUGCCCAUGAAGGACUGCAGCCAGAUCGGUGUAGAGUCCUUCUUGGCCAUGACGAGAUCAUGCUCCAGUUUUUUUAAAGGCAGGACAUAUUAUACUUUUCGUGCGCGCCGAUUGCCCAGUUCUCAGGAAUACAUUAGUAAGCAAUAUUCACUUCCGAGGAACCGCACAGACAGAAUUGCGCGUCAAGAAUUUAAUUUGCGACAAUUUUUCGGUAUGUUGACAGAAAUAAUCCAAUUAUGUGGUUUCUGUCUGCUGGACCCUCCCAAGCAGUUAGUAAGUAAAUGAUUCCACUGCCAGCGUUCAGGUCCUUUUUAAAAAUUUAAUUUAUAUUUAAUGAGUAACAUUUAAUAAGCUACUGAGCUGGGUAUAGGAUAAAAUUACCAACCCUUUCGAAUAGCGUUCCGUAGUUUCCUUUUAGUUCAGACACAUUUCGCAGAGAACAAAAUAGUAUUAUUAGUUACACUGUAACACUUUUGCAGCAUGUGACGAAAUCACGCGACUCUUGCUUCGUCCAUUAUGAAUCAUUUUACUCGUGUCACAUGACAAGUGAGUAGAGUUGUUUUCAUAGCAAAAAUUUGUUUGUGGCAGAGUUUUUUAGUCUACUAAUUUUUUUUAGUGUUUGGUACACUUAUUUGGUCGACUUGAGUUGUCAUGUUAGAUUCACGCUGCAUCGCAAUUCCAAAACAUAGGAGUUCCCUGAGUCACAAAAUUUCGAAAGGCCGCAAAGAGGAUAUCAAGAUUAUUUACUGUUUUAGUACAGAUUAUUUGUAACUUAGCACUCAUAUGAAGUGACUUAAAGGUUUGAGAGAAGGCAUUACACCCUCACCACUAGGGGUUAAAUGGGAAUGAAAAACCUGUUAGACUAGUUUGGAGGGGUAUUUUAAAAUAUUGCUGAUGUUUUCAUGCUUUUGUAUUUGUUUGUGUACAAUAUCUGAAAUAGAAAAUGAACACAAUGAUCCUCGAUCGAGAGUCAUCGGCUUUGAGUUUUAUGAUGUUAAUGUUAGUUAAACUGCAUUAUUGAUUAAUUCAAUAAAAGUCUAGUAAAUAAUUCCUAAA